This 273-nucleotide long non-coding RNA is filed under the name Mytilus galloprovincialis (Mediterranean mussel). Lineage: Eukaryota; Metazoa; Mollusca; Bivalvia; Mytilida; Mytilidae. The record is from RNAcentral.
GGCAGAGACAGAAACACAAGACAUAUAAUAACUAAACUCAAUUGAAUGGAACUUGUAUUGCAGGUCACUACAAUUGCCUUCAACAAAGAAUAUAAACUCUCGCAACAAAGCAAGAUUAACCCCGUCUUUCACUAAAGUUUGAGCAGGAUUCUUUGCAACGAUUAUCUUAACACAUAUAAUUGAGAAUCGAGUCGUGCAGUUAUGUCAAGAAAUUAAAACGGUAAGAUUAAACAUUAAAACAGUAAAAGCUAGCCUAAGGGUUUACCAUUAAUU